Rhincodon typus (whale shark) is the source of this 696-nucleotide long non-coding RNA. RefSeq lists it as uncharacterized. The record is from RefSeq and is a predicted model, not a curated record. Lineage: Eukaryota; Metazoa; Chordata; Chondrichthyes; Orectolobiformes; Rhincodontidae. The transcript has 2 exons.
CAAGAUCUUCCAGUGAUAAAGAUUCUUAGCUCAGACGCUGGAUCAAAGUGCCAGAUAAGUCUGCCCUUAACCAUCUUUCAAUCACACUGGGGGAUAAAUGCUGGCCAAGUGCAUUGCUCUGACCUCCUGUGUGUGUGUGAGAGAGAGAGAGAGAGACACACACACACACACACACACAAGAUGGGACAGGCUGUACAUUCCAAGAUAUCAGCCCAGGGGAAUGGGUGUCCCGCCCCCACCUUCCCUGACAUUCCCAACCAGUCCCCGCGCCCGCCCCUCCCCGAGGGCCUCCUGUUCUGAAAUCUCGAGACAAAGAUGAAGGUGGCAUUCCUGUCUCUCGCUCUCCUGCUCCUGUUCCCCGCUGGCCCCCAAACUGUGGAGACACGCACAUGGAAGUGUGAAUACAUCGGCGGGACAUGCAGUAUGACAACUUGUGCCCCCAGCUACAAAACAGAGAUAGCAUUUUGUGAUGACAAUUCCAAUUGCUGUUAUCCCUGAUGGAGAAGCAAGUGGGACCUGACCGCCCGGGAUCCCAACUGGGAAAAUGUGGACUGACUCGGUGUAAUUGGGAGAUGGAGGGCGAGGAGGGGUAGAUGUGCAAUUCUCUCUGUCCCAGAGCCCAACCCCAGCACCCCCAUUCCAAUCUCUGCCUAAUGCUCCCCACCCCCCUCGCAAUAAAACUGUCAGCCCUCUGUC